GAUGAACGCUGGCGGCGUGCCUAAUACAUGCAAGUCGAGCGAACAGACGAGGAGCUUGCUCCUCUGACGUUAGCGGCGGACGGGUGAGUAACACGUGGAUAACCUACCUAUAAGACUGGGAUAACUUCGGGAAACCGGAGCUAAUACCGGAUAAUAUAUUGAACCGCAUGGUUCAAUAGUGAAAGACGGUUUUGCUGUCACUUAUAGAUGGAUCCGCGCCGCAUUAGCUAGUUGGUAAGGUAACGGCUUACCAAGGCGACGAUGCGUAGCCGACCUGAGAGGGUGAUCGGCAACACUGGAACUGAGACACGGUCCAGACUCCUACGGGAGGCAGAAGUAGGGAAUCUUCCGCAAUGGGCGAAAGCCUGACGGAGCAACGCCGCGUGAGUGAUGAAGGUCUUCGGAUCGUAAAACUCUGUUAUUAGGGAAGAACAAAUGUGUAAGUAACUAUGCACGUCUUGACGGUACCUAAUCAGAAAGCCACGGCUAACUACGU
This 496-nucleotide ribosomal RNA is filed under the name uncultured bacterium. RNAcentral's name for it is "partial 16S ribosomal RNA". It matches the Rfam family "Bacterial small subunit ribosomal RNA", at positions 28 to 506 of the family's 1533-position model. The record is from RNAcentral.